GAUGAAGAACGCAGCGAAAUGCGAUAAGUAAUGUGAAUUGCAGAAUUCAGUGAAUCAUCGAAUCUUUGAACGCACAUUGCGCCCCCUGGUAUUCCGGGGGGCAUGCCUGUCCGAGCGUCAUUACAACCCUCAAGCUCAGCUUGGUGUUGGGCCCCGCCGCCCCGGCGGGCCCUAAAGUCAGUGGCGGUGCCGUCCGGCUCCGAGCGUAGUAAUUCUUCUCGCUCUGGAGGUCCGGUCGUGUGCUCGCCAGCAACCCCCAAUUUUUUUCAGGUUGACCUCGGUCAGGUAGGGAUACCCGCUGAACUUAAGCAUAUCAAUAAGCGGAGGA
RNAcentral lists this unclassified non-coding RNA (328 nucleotides) under soil metagenome. RNAcentral describes it as "partial contains 5.8S ribosomal RNA, internal transcribed spacer 2, and large subunit ribosomal RNA". The stretch from base 1 to 120 matches the Rfam family "5.8S ribosomal RNA", at positions 35 to 154 of the family's 154-position model. The record is from RNAcentral.